Passer domesticus (house sparrow) is the source of this 3632-nucleotide long non-coding RNA. RefSeq lists it as uncharacterized. The transcript has 5 exons. NCBI's taxonomy places the organism in Eukaryota, Metazoa, Chordata, Aves, Passeriformes, Passeridae. The record is from RefSeq and is a predicted model, not a curated record.
UGUGCCUUGAGCUUUGUGCAGUGUUGCUAAAUCCAGAUGCUGAGGGGUUGGAAAGCAGUAGCAGUAAAAGGCUUGGAGAUCUUUGGACCUGUCUGGUUCUUGGUGUGCAUGUAGGAUUCAUGUGUCUGGGUUUCCAUGGAGGCCUUGUUUUAAAUGAAAGAUGAGCUUCUGUGUAAUUGUGAGACAUUUGAAGAUAAGAUUUUGGGGAAACAAGCAAAUGCUGUGAUGUUCCUGAACAACUGUGCCCAGCCUUUGGGUGUCUGAAAGCAGAAGAGCGAGGAGGAGCCUUUUGCCAUGGGUCAGAUUUGGUUGUGGUUCUUACAUGAGGUUUGUGCAAGGACAGAGUGUGUGGGGUCUGAAGAGCUGCCCUGCCAUGCCUGCAGGCUUCUCCUGGCUGAGGGAGAGACCUGCAGCUCCUUCCACCCUCCCUUCCCUGGCAGAACACUGCUGCUGGGAGAUGCAGCAGGGGCAGGGCUGCUUUCAGAGCCUAGUUGGAGAAGACGUUACAGGCAUCACCAGGAGGAGUCUUGCUAGGUUCUGUUUCUCAGGCCAGGUCUUAUGAACCCUCAAAAGGGAACCUAACACACCCAAGGAUAGCUUAGCUAUUACCUUUGGAGGCAAAUAAUGAGCAGGAUGGCUUCUGCUGCAGUGUUAGAAACAAAAAGGUUUAAUAAAAGGCAAAAUAACAAACAGAAAAACUCGAGCCAGGUACAGAGGUCUGCCCCUGGUAUAAACACCUCACAAAAGCCACUUAGUUCUUUUGUUCUCCUCUUUUCUACCUGAUGGGCCAGGCAGGACUUUUUGGCUUCUAUCCAAUUAGAUGACCCCGAGUUUUUAGUGAAGCCUCUGAGGUCCUAUGAGGUGGCUUUUCACCUAAUCAUUGAGAGAAACUUCUGGGCUUCUUUCCUUUUUUGGGGAAAAAGGCUAGCUUUGCCACUCUGUCAUUAGGGGGCACACUCCUACACUCCUACAGAGUCUGGCAUUACCUUGCUGCCACUCAGCCCAGAGAACGCUGCUGCCCUGCUUAAAUAUCCCAAAACUGCUCGACCAGCCUUGGGUUUGGAGGAACAUCACCUCUGAAAGGUUGACUCAUGCACCUGAGGAAAUUAGUGUGGAAUAAAGGCUUGGGAAAACUGAAAUGAAUCUGAGCAUCAGCAAUGCAUCAAGAGACACAAAUAUUGCUAAAAUAUAUGAAAUGAAAGUUAGUAGAAAAAAUGAAACGUUUAGUGAAGCAUGCAGAGCUGGAAACAUUGCUAUGGUUAUUACGUUUUAAUUAGUUGGAAACUGUUCAUUCAAGCUUGAUUUCUGUGCAGUGAUUGUCCUAAUGUGGUUGGGUUUGGGAUCUAUAGUUUCUGAAUUUUCCUUUCUUUAUGAGUUCUAAGUCCUGAAAUAUUCCUUGUGCAUGUGUCCUUCUGGCUUCUGGGGUGCUGUGGAGGGAGAUUUUUUUGUACACAAAUUUUGCAGUAAAUGAUACCAUUUACUGCCUAGUGGUACUUGUUGUAGCCCCAGAGACUUAAAUGGUCCAGCUCAAAAGACAUUUCAUGUGAAAGGAAACAUUUGAGGGUGUUUCACAGCAGGAAAGUAGUAUCACCUUAGCUAUUUUAUCUUUCAAUAUUAAAAGGACUGAGAAACUUAGGGCUUGUGUUUUCACAGUGCUCAUGAGCUCAUGUAGCCUCUGUAUGUGCAGUAUGCACACAGACAGCUAAGUGUGUCAGUGAAAAAACUCAAAUUAAGUCUUUUUCUUCCACUGAAAAGUUUCCCCUACUCAGCUGAGAAUACUCCAUUACCAUUAAUAUACUUCAUAAUACCUGUUUUCAGGGACAGGAACAUUUUUAAUGCCUGGUUUCUCUUCACAUGAGUGAAUACAGAUCUACCUGUUAACUAGAGCAUUGGUACCUGGAAUUAAAAUGGCAUAUUUUGGGCAUCACUCUGUGUGUCUGUUUUCCAAUUCCUAAUUUGGAAGUUUUUAUCUUUGCUAUCUUAUCUGAUGCCUUCUGGAAACAAUUUUCCCUUAACACCACUUCAUAAAUUUCAGCAUACACUAGACUGAAGGUUCUGGGCCAUUUCUCACAUUUUGUAAUGAAUUUUCUGGUUGAAUUCUUUUACGGAUAGCACCUCAUACAUGCAAAUCAGUGCCUAAGAUCCUGGUGGAUUUUUUACUGAUUUUAUGUAUACAUCUCUAAGAACUUGUGAUAUAUUCUGAAAAGCUAAGCUGCCACUGAAAUGUGCACACUUAUGUUUUCCAAGGUAUUAAAUUAAAAAUCUGAAAAGGGAUAAGAAUAGGCUAGAAUAAGCCUAUUAACAUAAAACCAGGUAAAAUUAGAAACCAAGUGUGUUUGCAUAGUUAAAUUUUAUUUGGAAUAACCACAACAAUUUGAAAUAACUACCAGAUAUGUUGUCAAAUAGCUGAAUGUUAUUAGGGAAACUCACUUACAUUAAUUUAAUUAAUGCCUCAGGCUUUACAUGAGUAGCCAUAACACUAAGAUGAUUAAUCUCUGAUUGUAAAAGGAAGCGCCAGUAUAGUUCUGUGGCUUCAGAAUUUUCCUCACUGGGCAACCCACAUGAAUUUCAAUUUGGAGUUUAGUUAAACCUUCUUAAAAGAUAGUUCCCAUCAUGUCAUGUUCUUCAGGGUGGCUGAAGGUGGGGGAGGAAGGCAGGGGCCUCUCCCCUGUGAGAGCAGAUCCCAGCCCCCUGUGAGCUCACAGGGAAGGUGCAGCCUGGCUGCAGGAGAGGUCUGCUGCUGAGGGAAAGGUGGUUCUGUGGGGGUGUUUUGGGCACUAAAGGUGUGGACGUAAUUCCCAGAACCGAGCAGCUGCAGAAAAAGUCAGGAGUGUCAGUGGAAAAGAGUCACAAUGAGAGGGAUCCUGCGGCUGCGGAGCAGCACGACACAGAGACCCACAGGAUCCCACGGUUUGAUCCCUGCUUAAAUAAUUUUGACCCAGCCUGGAUGUCCACUUGUAAUCUUGAAAGAGAACGUGUGUGGAAGGUCUCAUUAACCCAGCCACCUGAGAAGCAGGAACACAGGCUCGCCUGCAGCAGCAGUCCUUACAGGAACCAUCUCUACAGCUGGGAAUAGAAGGUGAAUCCUGCAUCUUGCUGCAGAGAGGAAUUUGGAUUUUAAUGUACAGAUUAUUUUGAUUAACAUGGAGAAUUUGGAGAUGGUGGCCAGAAGCUGCAGCCAUGACUCAGUAAGAAGGGGAAAAGUGCUGCUCUGAUAUUACCUAGAAUUGCAUUUAACUUGAACCAGCACAGUGCCUUGCUCUUCUGUGACCUUUACCCAUCAGGAGUUAUUAGCUAAUUGAAUUCAGAAGGCAGGCUUUCCUUUGCUAAAAGUGACCCUGAAAUGGUCUGGAUUGAUUCACACAAAUACCGAACCCUGCUAAGCAGAGCUGUCCUGGGGAACACUUUGCUCCAUGAGGAGAUCUAAUCUGAGCAUCAGCAAAGCUGCAAGGAUUUGAAUCACAGCUUUUCUUAGAGUCAAAAUGAAUACUUCUGAGAAAUUCAAAUGAGCAGUAAGAUGAAGAGCUAAGGAAGAAUUUAGCUUCAAUACUUAUCAGAAUAAAAAAAACAUUCUCACACUUGUGCCUGGGACUGAACAGUCUUUAUAGGCAUGUACUUCUCUGAUUCUCCAU